Molecule: ribosomal RNA, 955 nt
Filed under: Arthrobacter sp.
Lineage: Bacteria; Bacillati; Actinomycetota; Actinomycetes; Micrococcales; Micrococcaceae
Description: bacterial SSU rRNA
Rfam family: Bacterial small subunit ribosomal RNA
Source: RNAcentral
AGUGGCGAACGGGUGAGUAACACGUGAGUAACCUGCCCUUGACUCUGGGAUAAGCCUGGGAAACUGGGUCUAAUACCGGAUAUGACUGUCCGUCGCAUGGUGGUUGGUGGAAAGCUUUUGUGGUUUUGGAUGGACUCGCGGCCUAUCAGCUUGUUGGUGGGGUAAUGGCCUACCAAGGCGACGACGGGUAGCCGGCCUGAGAGGGUGACCGGCCACACUGGGACUGAGACACGGCCCAGACUCCUACGGGAGGCAGCAGUGGGGAAUAUUGCACAAUGGGCGCAAGCCUGAUGCAGCGACGCCGCGUGAGGGAUGACGGCCUUCGGGUUGUAAACCUCUUUCAGUAGGGAAGAAGCGAAAGUGACGGUACCUGCAGAAAAAGCGCCGGCUAACUACGUGCCAGCAGCCGCGGUAAUACGUAGGGCGCAAGCGUUAUCCGGAAUUAUUGGGCGUAAAGAGCUCGUAGGCGGUUUGUCGCGUCUGCCGUGAAAGUCCGGGGCUCAACUCCGGAUCUGCGGUGGGUACGGGCAGACUAGAGUGAUGUAUGGGAGACUGGAAUUCCUGGUGUAUCGCUGAGAUGCGCAGAUAUCAGGAGGAACACCCGAUGGCGAAAAGCAGGUCUCUGUGGCAUUAUCUCACGCUGAGGAGCGAAAGCAUGUGGAGCGAACAGGAUUAUAUACCCUGGUAGUCCAUGCCCGUAUACGUUGGGCACUAUGUGUGGGGGGACAUACCACGUUUUCCGCGCCGUAGCUAUCACAUUAAAUGCCCCGCCCUGGUGGAGUACAGCCGCAAGGCUAAAACUCACAGGAAAUUGACUGGGGCGCGCCACAAGCAGCCGGCAGCAUGCUGGAGUAGAUCGAUGCUGCGCGAGAGCGUACCAUGCUGACGUGAGCAGACCUGACUGGUAACAGAUCUCGACUCUGCUGGUUAUAGGUGUUGCAUGGUGUCGUCGCUC